CGUCUUGAAACACGGACCAAGGAGUCUAGCAUGUGCGCGAGUCAUUGGGACACGACUAAACCUAAAGGCGCAAUGAAAGUAAAGGUCCGCCUUGUGCGGACCGAGGGAAGAUGGGUGGUCCUUCGUGACCGCCUCGCACUCCCGGGGCGUCUCGUUCUCAUCGCGAGGAGAGGCGCACCAAGAGCGCACACGCUGGGACCCGAAAGAUGGUGAACUAUGCCUGGUCAGGACGAAGUCAGGGGAAACCCUGAUGGAGGUCCGUAGCGAUUCUGACGUGCAAAUCGAUCGUCGGAACUGGGUAUAGGGGCGAAAGACUAAUCGAACCAUCUAGUAGCUGGUUCCCUCCGAAGUUUCCCUCAGGAUAGCUGGCGCUCGUCGCGCACGAGUCUCAUCCGGUAAAGCGAAUGAUUAGAGGCAUUGGGGUCGAAACGGCCUCAACCUAUUCUCAAACUUUAAAUGGGUGAGAUCUCCGGCUUGCUCGAACUAUUGAAGCCGCGAGACACGGAUCAGAGUGCCAAGUGGGCCAUUUUUGGUAAGCAGAACUGGCGCUGUGGGAUGAACCAAACGCCGAGUUAAAGCGCCUAAAUCGACGCUUAUGGGAUACCAUGAAAGGCGUUGGUAACUUAAGACAGCAGGACGGUGGCCAUGGAAGUCGGAAUCCGCUAAG
This 667-nucleotide ribosomal RNA is filed under the name Diontolobus lanuginosus. Its description in RNAcentral is "eukaryotic LSU rRNA". It matches the Rfam family "Eukaryotic large subunit ribosomal RNA", at positions 650 to 1275 of the family's 3401-position model. The record is from RNAcentral. Lineage: Eukaryota; Metazoa; Arthropoda; Insecta; Coleoptera; Thymalidae.